AUUCAAUCUCUUCUAGGAAUUUCAACUGCUUUUGAAUUUAUAGAUUGUUUCGGAUUAUUCACAGUAAGUGGCCUGUUUCUCUCGGAGUUUCUUUGAAUUGAGAAGCCCCCCGGGGAGGCCAGAAGAGAAGAGAAAGGAAACAAGCCUGACUCACCAUAGUCUAGUUAGUUUACAGUUUAAAGUGAGUAAUCGAGCCGUGUGACCAGCAGCGUGACCUUCAACUAGUUGAGUAACAGUCUGUGUUUAUGAUCUGUGUACCUCGGGGGAGAUUAGUAAUAUUUAUUGAAUACUUUCAAAGUGCUUGGAAAUAAUGGUCAGAGAAGAACAUAAGAGAACACGAUCCCUGUGUUCAAAUGUCUCUAUUAAAAGGAAACAAGAUCUUUUGAGGCUGCUCCAGGAUUGAAGCUGAGUUCAGAUCCGGAACCUGGUAAUAGGAACUUGAUUAUUAGGAGGCAAAGCCUGGUAGCAAGACCCAGGACCACACCAUAUGAAGCAGUUAACCAAUGAAGUCAACCAACAAGAGUUGAAAAAGUACAUGAGGAGUUAAACCAACUGAGGCUUAGAGCCCAAUAUAGAUU
This is a long non-coding RNA of Mirounga angustirostris (Northern elephant seal), 578 nucleotides long. RefSeq lists it as uncharacterized. The transcript is spliced from 3 exons. Lineage: Eukaryota; Metazoa; Chordata; Mammalia; Carnivora; Phocidae. The record is from RefSeq and is a predicted model, not a curated record.